AGUUAAAUUCUACUAUUAAGGG
Molecule: transfer RNA, 22 nt
Filed under: Diadema setosum
Lineage: Eukaryota; Metazoa; Echinodermata; Echinoidea; Diadematoida; Diadematidae
Description: partial tRNA-Lys
Source: RNAcentral